UACGUAGGUGGCAAGCGUUGUCCGGAUUUACUGGGCGUAAAGAGCGCGCAGGCGGUCGUUCAAGUCGAGUGUGAAAGCCCCCGGCUCAACUGGGGAGGGUCACUCGAUACUGAUCGACUCGAAGGCAGGAGAGGGUAGUGGAAUUCCCGGUGUAGAGGUGAAAUUCGUAGAUAUCGGGAGGAACACCAGUGGCGAAGGCGGCGACCUGGACAGAUAUUGACGCUGAGGUGCGAAAGCGUGGGGAGCAAACAGG
This 253-nucleotide ribosomal RNA is filed under the name uncultured bacterium. Its description in RNAcentral is "partial 16S ribosomal RNA". It matches the Rfam family "Bacterial small subunit ribosomal RNA", at positions 524 to 776 of the family's 1533-position model. The record is from RNAcentral.